AGCUUUGCACAGUGGCAGUAUCGUAGCCAAUGAGGUUUAUCCGAGGCGCGAUUAUUGCUAAUUGAAAACUUUUCCCAAUACUGGGACCCUUACCGUCCUUAAAAUGAUUCACUUUUCAGAAAUUCAGUUUUCCACACAGCUAUUCAGAAGGAGGAGCAACUAUUUAGGAGUUGAA
Molecule: small nuclear RNA, 175 nt
Filed under: Suricata suricatta (meerkat)
Lineage: Eukaryota; Metazoa; Chordata; Mammalia; Carnivora; Herpestidae
Description: U4 spliceosomal RNA (ENSSSUG00005022767.1)
Rfam family: U4 spliceosomal RNA (bases 1-131)
About the family: U4 small nuclear RNA (U4 snRNA) is a component of the major U2-dependent spliceosome. The structure of U4 snRNA from yeast and human has been reported.
Source: RNAcentral